Molecule: long non-coding RNA, 435 nt
Filed under: Vitis vinifera (wine grape)
Lineage: Eukaryota; Viridiplantae; Streptophyta; Magnoliopsida; Vitales; Vitaceae
Description: long non-coding RNA (VVIN_LNC004501)
Source: RNAcentral
GCCCAUCAAAGUCCUCAGUCUUCACUCUUCUUCUUCUUCUUUUUCUCUUUCUUCUUGCUAGGCUCUUUGGUUUCCUCUUCGGGUUCAGCAUGCUUUCUCUUUUUCUUCUUUUUUUCUCCUGCUUCACCUUCAUUUUGCAAUUCAUCAUUCUCGGCUGAGUGCUUCUUCUUUUUCUUCUUUUCCUUUUUCACCACCUCUUCACUUUCUGGUUCUGCAUCACCAACUACAUCAUUUGGCAAGCUGGCAUCCUCUACAUCGGCCUUUUUCUUUUUUUUCUUUUCUUUCUUUUCUUUCUUCUCUUCAACCACAACAAGGGUGUCCUCGGGUUGAGAUGGCUCUACUUCCUUCUUCCUCUUUUUUGGGAUCAUUUCUUCCUCUUCCCUGGCUGCUGAAUCUUCUAUCCUUCCAAGAACAGAGUCUGCCGCUGGAUUGUAA